GUCGAGAAUCUUUCACAAUGGGGGCAACCCUGAUGGAGCGACGCCGCGUGGAGGAUAAGGUCUUCGGAUUGUAAACUCCUGUCAUGCGUGAACAAGGUUGCUUGGUUAAUACCUGGGCAAAUUGAUGGUAACGCAAGAGGAAGAGACGGCUAACUCUGUGCCAGCAGCCGCGGUAAUACAGAGGUCUCAAGCGUUGUUCGGAAUCACUGGGCGUAAAGGGUGCGUAGGUGGCGUGGUAAGUCAGAUGUGAAAGCCCGGGGCUCAACCUCGGAACUGCAUCAGAUACUGCCAUGCUAGAGUACUGGAGAGGUGACUAGAAUUCUCGGUGUAGCAGUGAAAUGCGUAGAUAUCGAGAGGAAUACCAAAGGCGUAGGCAGGUCACUGGACAGUUACUGACACUGAGGCACGAAGGCCAGGGGAGCGAACGGGAUUAGAUACCCCUGUAGUCC
RNAcentral lists this ribosomal RNA (449 nucleotides) under uncultured bacterium. Its description in RNAcentral is "partial 16S ribosomal RNA". It matches the Rfam family "Bacterial small subunit ribosomal RNA", at positions 354 to 796 of the family's 1533-position model. The record is from RNAcentral.